This 432-nucleotide ribosomal RNA is filed under the name uncultured bacterium. RNAcentral describes it as "partial 16S ribosomal RNA". It matches the Rfam family "Bacterial small subunit ribosomal RNA", at positions 29 to 507 of the family's 1533-position model. The record is from RNAcentral.
GCGCACGCUGGCGGCAGGCCUAACACAUGCCAGUCGAACGGAUCCUUCGGGAUUAGUGGCGGACGGGUGAGUAACACGUGGGAACGUGCCCUUUGGUUCGGAACAACUCAGGGAAACUUGAGCUAAUACCGGAUGUGCCCUUCGGGGGAAAGAUUUAUCGCCAUUGGAGCGGCCCGCGUCUGAUUAGCUAGUUGGUGAGGUAACGGCCCACCAAGGCAACGAUCAGUAGCUGGUCUGAGAGGAUGAUCAGCCACACUGGGACUGAGACACGGCCCAGACUCCUACGGGAGGCAGCAGUGGGGAAUCUUGCGCAAUGGGCGAAAGCCUGACGCAGCCAUGCCGCGUGAAUGAUGAAGGUCCUAGGAUUGUAAAAUUCUUUCAGCGGGGACGAUAAUGACGGUACCCGCAGAAGAAGCUCCGGCUAACUUCGUG